CGACCUGAGCUCAGGCAAGACUACCCGCUGAACUUAAGCAUAUCAAUAAGCGGAGGAAAAGAAACUAACUAGGAUGCCCUUAGUAACGGCGAGCGAACCGGGCAAAGCCCAACUUGAAAAUCUCCAGCCUUCGGCUGGCGAAUUGUAGUCUAGAGAAGCGCUCUCUGCGCCAGUCCGGCCCCAAGUCCCCUGGAAAGGGGCGUCAGAGAGGGUGAGAACCCCGUUGGGACCGGAUCCUGUCGCUCCACGAGACGCUUUCGC
Molecule: ribosomal RNA, 261 nt
Filed under: Micractinium sp. GB1k
Lineage: Eukaryota; Viridiplantae; Chlorophyta; Trebouxiophyceae; Chlorellales; Chlorellaceae
Description: partial 28S ribosomal RNA
Rfam family: Eukaryotic large subunit ribosomal RNA
Source: RNAcentral